GAGUUUGAUCGUGGCUCAGAUUGAACGCUGGGGGCAUGCCUUACACAUGCAAGUCGAACGGCAGCAUGAUCUAGCUUGCUAGAUUGAUGGCGAGUGGCGAACGGGUGAGUAAUACAUCGGAACGUGCCCUGUAGUGGGGGAUAACUAGUCGAAAGAUUAGCUAAUACCGCAUACGACCUGAGGGUGAAAGUGGGGGACCGCAAGGCCUCAUGCUAUAGGAGCGGCCGAUGUCUGAUUAGCUAGUUGGUGGGUAAAGGCCCACCAAGGCGACGAUCAGUAGCUGGUCUGAGAGGACGAUCAGCCACACUGGGACUGAGACACGGCCCAGACUCCUACGGAGGCAGCAGUGGGGAAUUUUGGACAAUGGGCGAAAGCCUGAUCCAGCAAUGCCGCGUGUGUGAAGAAGG
RNAcentral lists this ribosomal RNA (407 nucleotides) under uncultured microorganism. Its description in RNAcentral is "bacterial SSU rRNA". It matches the Rfam family "Bacterial small subunit ribosomal RNA", at positions 9 to 414 of the family's 1533-position model. The record is from RNAcentral.